UGGGAAGUAAAAGUCGUAACAAGGUUUCCGUAGGUGAACCUGCGGA
RNAcentral lists this ribosomal RNA (46 nucleotides) under Chroogomphus purpurascens. Its description in RNAcentral is "partial 18S ribosomal RNA". Lineage: Eukaryota; Fungi; Basidiomycota; Agaricomycetes; Boletales; Gomphidiaceae. The record is from RNAcentral.